CCAUCCGCCGCCAGUACCGCGAGCUAGCUCCGCUGGAAGGUUGUGCGUUAUCGCGGCAAACGUGUGACAUUGGCUGGACCCAUCUUUUUCAGCGGUAAUUAGCGCAAUCAGUUCUCGAAAAUCUUCAGUACCAUAAUAAAGGCACAGCCGUUUAGUGGUUGCCGGUUGCGAAGAAGGUGUCGCCACAACGUCGGUACAAUUGUGCGCGUACGCAAACGGAUUUUCGUAGUCGGUGCGCGGCCGGCCGGCUGGUUUGUUUCGCGUGUCACGUUGUGCUGUCAUUUUUCGGUAGUUGUUUUCGGUGCUCGAAGAAAAUCAACCGGGACACGUGUCGGGGCUGCUGUCAACGAAUGUACAGAGAUAAGCCGAGAGCGUUCCACUCGAUUACCUUGGCUGGUUCCUUCGCCGUCGAUGUAAACUGCGCCGCGACGCGUCGCAACUCUAAGGAACACCGGAAGUGACAGGACGGACAGGGCGCAGCCGCGACCACCGAUGGCGGCCGCGAGCUUUCCACCGAACUUCUCGAACGUCGGCAUCCUGGAGAACUGGCUUUCCACGACUCUUCUCGAGGAAGAGGAUCAGAGGAAAGACGGGAGGUAAUGAGAGUUAGGAGAGCGAAAAGAGGGGCCGAGAGGACGAGCGAGCCGGCGAGGUGGCGCACGAGGACCGACCGACCUGCCGACCGUGUUCUGCCUCGAGAAACGCAAACUCCCCUCCCGUCUGUUGUCUCUUGUUUUCUUUUCAAGGAUGCAGGUACGAACCCUGGUCGCCGGGCCUGCUGAAGCGAGCAGCAGCCUGGCGCUGGACCACCAGGUGCGAGCAGGGACCACGGACCGACGGUGACCGGGACGCACGCACGAUGUAUUCUUUCCCGUGAGUCCCUAAUUACCGGAACCCUCUCCGAAAGCUAUCAGCCACAGCGCCGGCAUGGAGGCGGCGAACGGUGCGAUCGAGCACGACUUUCACAAUGCCUUGGUGCCUAUAAACGGUAGCCAUUCCGGGAGCUCCGGCAGGAGUACGCCGAAUGGAGGAGAUCCCGCGCCAGGAAAGCUGUUCGUAGGCGGCUUGUCCUGGCAGACCAGCAGCGAGAAGCUCAGGGAGUACUUCGGGAUGUUCGGGACCGUCACCGACGUCCUCAUCAUGAAGGAUCCGGUCACACAGGAUGGAAAGAGAAGGAAGAAGGGGGACGCUGACGAGAGCCACCUCGCGCCCCGAGAGCAUGCAACGAAUUCCCAAGAUUCCUGCGAGCGCGCCGAUGACGCUCGAUGUCGGCGAACGAAACGAAACGCGCGGAGCGGGAGAGAACCGGCGGCCGAGGCGAGCAACGAUUAGAGACGCGCGCGGACGCGGAAUCGUUGUCCUCUACUACUUCCGCCGGAGAUCUUCGGGUCGAUUUUCACGCGACGAUGCGCGUGUCGCGGUAGACGUUGCUCUUUCGGAGACAGUUCAUUCUUUGCCUCGAUGUUAUUAACACGUUGACUGCCAAGUGGACACGAGUAUUUAAAAUGUGCGUUCACGCGAAGCUAUUCUCAAGAUUGUUUGCAGUGUUAACACAUUGAACACCGGCUAAACUUCAGCUACUAAAAACGCGAGCGUCGGUGAUUAUAUCGAUACACUUUUAUACAGCGAUUAAACCAAAAUUUCUAACUUACGGAAGAGAAUAAGGAAUUUGACGUUGUGAAUUUUACUUUGGAUUUGUGUUAUGCAUAUCUGAAAUGAUGCAUGAACGUAGGAUUAGCAAUUAAACGAUAGACUAAAAUAUCGCGGGGCCGAUGUGCUAAGAUAUUAAUCAUUGAAGAAACAAAUCGAAACUGUUUUGACUAGUUCUAGUGUUAACCCUUUGAACUCUGUAGGCUCCAAUAUUGCAGCAAUUAUAAUAUUACAUAUUUUAAUGAAUCUUAACCCAUUGCUCUAUGAUUUACUUCUGAACCAUAAUCAAUACAGCUACUUUAUUGUUAAUAAUUAAUUAGGAAAAGACACAUAUUCAGUGCUAUUUCUAUGUAUAUAAUUAAUCCGAACGUUACUGAUUGAUAACAGAAAAGUAAUAUGUAAUUUAUAUUUUAGAAAAUGAAUAAGACUUAGAUCUUUUAAAUUCGGUUAAAAUUUUCGUCACGAGUCUGACACGAUAUUGUAGGUCAAGGGGUUAAAGAAACUACCCUAAGAUUCUUCGAUUUUCCACACAUCCAAAUUUUGCGCUAAGGAGGAAAAUAAAAGAUCGAAGAGAUAUAGCAUUUUUCAUUUUUGCUAGGGGUACUAUAAAAACUAGUUGCAGUUGCUGAUAGAUUACAAAACAGCCUGGAGUGCUAAGGGUUAACAAAGCAGAGUAAGAAGAGUAAGGAGUCAAGAUUCUUCGUAACGGUUAUCUUUCUUAUAUCGUACAUCCGAUAAUUCAUUUCGUUCGAUGCGUCAAAAUUAACGUUCAAGUUCAAAACAACAGUGUCACCGAAGCUCGAGUAACGUGGCAGUCAAAGUGUUAAAUAUUAAACUGCAGAUCUUAACCGGUUAACUGUGUUUGACGAGUGUACUAUUAAUGGUGCUAACUUUCUCAACGAUGGAUUAUUUAUUUUUCGAGACAAACAUGUAACGCUUCUUCGUUUCGCUUUAGCUUUUCGUGAGGAUAUAUUUUAACUGCAUUCGGCCUGCAUUUAACGAAUAUAUAUGAGAGAUUUUUCAAACUAAAUCCCACACUUAACUGGUUAAUAGAGAUACAAACUCUUCAUGCGGUAGAUCCUUCUCUAAAGAAACACCAUAAACAGCUCUAAAGUUCGGAUAUUACAGUUCUCCGUUCCUUCCUCGCAAGUCUGCACUUUCUAGUUUCCCACGAGAAACCCGCAGCCCGAUUAUUAGAUAUAAUAAACCUAGAUACACUCUCGGAGGUCGCAUUACCGCGAGAUUCUAGCGAUCAAUCCAGUAUCCGAGUGCAAAGUCUGCGCUAUCGCGUCACGAGUUUCCGCGGAAUGGAUUGCAGAGCUUCUGAAUUGCGUAUAAUGAGGCGAUUAUCUCGAUACGUGCAUCGUCGUGCGAGACCGGGCACGCCCAAUUUUUCCUGCCCGUCGAUCGACUGCGAUCUGGCCUAGUUCGAGCAACGGCGAGCCGAAGUAGCAACGCCGACCUACGUUCCGAGAUAUCGAUCGGCAACCACGAAAGUUCGCUCGGACGAACUUCGGCCGCUCGCUGUCCUCCUCGAGAACCGAUCGUCCCGAAGAGGAACGCCGACGAGGAAUCGUUCGUGAAUCGGCGACGCGUGGCCCAACGAACGACAGCUGAAGGGCAAUUCUGGCGUGCGCCUGUGUUUUCGAUUGUUCGCCAUGGUACGCCGAAUCUUGGAGGGAGGAAAUCGUUUUGCAAGGAGGAACGAGGACCAGGCGAACGAUCGGAAGAAGACAUUUCCUCGACGAAUUCCCGGCCGCGGCGGGCGUAUUUUGUUACGUGUAGCGUUCGGCGAUUAAUCGAGCAUUACCUCAGGUAUCAGGUGACCGUCGCUGGUGUCUUUCAACGAAAAAUCGAGAACAGCGUUUAACACGUUGAAUGCCGCGCGAUUUCAUAGUAUAAAAUACUUGAAACGAAAAGAAUAUGAUAGUAAAUCAUUUGAUUGAAUUUCAUUGUUACUAUUGCAGGUUCGUCUAGCUGAAUGUCACCACAUUGGUUAUCGUUAUUUAUAAUAUUGAAAUGUUUUCGAAUAAUCACGGUUUAAUUCAGUGAACUGUAGUAAUUCGAUUUGAGUCACCGGUGACCCCCAUAGCAUUCAACGUGUUAACGCUGAGCGAUCCUUGACACGUUGGCGAUCGCUUUGAGAUCGGCGAUGGACGGCGAAAGCAGUCGAGAUUUCGUUUCAUCGGAAUACAAUUAUAUUCUUUUGUUUGUAAUCCUAAUAUAACGGAUGGACAUUCAUAAUAAAAAUUCGUGCGAACGUUUCUUCCAUUUCCAAGAUAAUAGAAAUGAAAAUCAACAGUCCGAAGGAAGAUAGAUGAUAACGCAUUGAUCGCCGGCCGAUUUUUAGUCUAUCGUUUAAUUGCUAAUCCUACGUUCGUGUAACAUUUCAGAUAUGUAUAACACAAAUCCAAAGUAAAAUUCACAAAGUCAAAUUCCUUAUUCUCUUCCGUGAGUUAGAAAUUUUGGUUUGAUCGAUGUUUAAAAGUGUAUCGAUAUAAUCACCGACGCUCGCGUUCUUAGUAGCUGAAAUUUAGCCGGCGUUCAACGUGUUAAUUCGAUUCUACGAGCCGAUACACAGGCAGUAUAACGAAAAACGCUCGCCACUUGAUCCACGUGUCUCAUUGCAAUUGCUGUCAACCGAUUCGGCGAUCAGCGCGUCAACGCGUCGAAGAUUCCUCCGGUUGAGCCCGCGCGCGAUCAGCGUUCUUUCCUCCAUGUUCCACGGAGUACAAAGUCUGUACAUAUUGUAAGUGUCUCGUCACUAUCGUUACCGUUAAUGUACCUACGUGUAAGCAGCGUUACCAGUAGACUGCGGAUUUUGUGCAUUUAGCAGCGAGUAGAAGCGUCUAACAGCGAGAACAUAGACAGUUCCACGCGAUCUCCUUUUUCUAUCGUUCCCCGAGCACCGCGACGAGAAACAGGGAGUCCCCGAGCAAAACGGAGCGAACGUUUCUAGAAAAAUUCGCAGUUCGUCGAGACGCACUCGCGAGAUUUCUAAUUGUAGUCCAGCCUCUAGUCGCGUCGAGAGCCGCGCGCCUAGGAACAAGCCAGCCGCCGGCGGAGGUCAAGGGUGCGCCUCCUUUUCCGUGAUUCGCCAAUGGAAGCUCGGCCCGGGAAACCGGAAACCUGCGAUAUUAUCGCGUUCGGCGUGGAUUGCGAGGACCGAAGAGGGAGCAGCGGAUGAACCUCUUCUGGACGAAGGAGCUCGAUCAAAGGAGAAAGAGGAGAAAGAGGAAGGAUGCCGGACCUCUCCCAAGGAACCCGGAACCGGAAAUUAGCGGGUUUCUCGAUCGCCGAACACUCGUAUCGUUCCGCAACGAUUCCUCGGUACCACCCUCGUUCUUCUCGCCCCUAGCGAUAACCAGAAUUUUAAUUUAUUAUUCUUACCACCGUUAUUAUAUGCAUUCGAAUCUGUAAAGCAGUCUGUCUUGUGUCGCAACCCGAGCCCCGUCUUCCUUCCGCGUAGAAUCUGUCCCCGAUCUACGCUCGGGAAACCAGAUUUCCCGUCUAAAUAAAAACGACUCGAGAUAGGGAGACGCUACGCGGAGCGUUUAGCCCGGCGGCGUUCGGGGGUUCCGCGGUUGAUCCGUCUGCGGCUGAACGGACAGAGACGGAGAGAAGGGAAGAAAGGAAAUCGAUAUCGGGACCCCCCCAAGGGCACGCGUUAUGUACGCCCCUGUCGGGUAAAUUGCGGCCGCCCUGGGAAAAAAGCCAGCCCGGAAAUUUCGUCGUAUCGUUUCCCCGAUCCCGCCUCGAGAAAUAUUAGGAAGUAUCCCGUGGCGUGUGUCCGACCGCCGCAGCCGCGCUCUUACGGGGGGAAUUGAUUUUCCUCCCGUGUGCCGCACGGAACGAACGUCUGCCGUAAGUUCCUCUUCGGCUGGAGCUUUCCGAAAGCUGCCCCUCGGUUCUCCUCGAGGCGCAACGCCGUGCGCGUCGGGUAGCCUCUAAUAAUCGAACUGCCGGCAGUCAAAUUUUACCGUUUCCUCUGGAGACUUUGGGAAACACUUUAGAGAAUUUUCCGAGUUCGGGCUAACGGCGUUUACUUUUCUUGAAUUUGGAUUAACACUAUUCCCACCGCGCAACUUAUAUUUUCUAAUAUAGAAUGAAGAUAAUAAAUAAUAAGAAAAGGUGUGAAUAUUGAAAAAUGUUUUAUACAUAUUCUAGGAAAAGUCGUGAAGUAUAGAGGCGAUUCAAUUGCGUUGUCUAUAGGAAAUUCUAAUCGAAAUUUUAAAUACAGUCGUUUGACUGGUCGCGGUGGGAAUAGUGUUAAAUAUUAGUUUCGUGUUAUCGAUCGUUUACCUCUGGAACAAGCGGAGACGGAGGAAUUAACCGUUCGAGUGGCAAGCGUUCGAUGUACUAAAAGCAGCCUAUCGGUUAGAAUCAAAUGAAGUUUACUUAUUCGUCUUGCUAAUUAGUUACGCUUGUUAUUGACUGCUUAGAAAUAGAAUCACGCUGUUUCGAUUUGUUUGCGUGAAAACGGAAUAGAAACCGUGAAUAGAAAGCGAAGUCUCGUGCCACUCAGGCGGUCAACUUCCUUUUCCUAAUGAAUCAUUAACGAUGAAGUAGCUUCGUCGAGUUGAGUUUCGGAAGAAGUCAGGACAAGGGGUGAGAUCCACAGAACAACGUCAGAAUUCGAUUACCAGCCGAAGCGUUACAGCGAAAGAGCGUCUAACAUGUCGGAGCAAGCUACGUUAACGCCAAAUUUGCAAAUAUUUAUUCUACACAUUGUUCCAUCGCUCCUAGAAGACUACAUAUUCGUUCCUAUAGCUCGCAGAAUUUAGAUUUUCAAAAUUAGAGAAUCACAAUGCAUAUUCGUGUAAUUUCACCAAUGAAAAUCGACUCGAAUCGUUACGAGAUAAUGUCUGAACUAUCUUAACCCAUUCGCUGCCAAGACGAGUAUACUCGUCCUACUUUCAAUAUGUUACAUACACGCUUCUGAAUCAGCAAAUUUCGAGUCCCGUUGCCUUCCCAUUGCCAACGACCAGUACACUCGUCUUUGAUUUUACGCGUGUAAAUGAUUAUGUGCGAUAAUACAUGUGCUUUCACCAAGAAAUAACAGAACUUCGGUAAACAAUACCA
Nomia melanderi (Alkali bee) is the source of this 6732-nucleotide non-coding RNA. The record is from RefSeq and is a predicted model, not a curated record. Lineage: Eukaryota; Metazoa; Arthropoda; Insecta; Hymenoptera; Halictidae.